RNAcentral lists this ribosomal RNA (601 nucleotides) under uncultured bacterium. RNAcentral describes it as "bacterial SSU rRNA". It matches the Rfam family "Bacterial small subunit ribosomal RNA", at positions 267 to 859 of the family's 1533-position model. The record is from RNAcentral.
ACCAAGGCGAUGAUGCAUAGCCGAGUUGAGAGACUGAUCGGCCACAUUGGGACUGAGACACGGCCCAAACUCCUACGGGAGGCAGCAGUAGGGAAUCUUCCACAAUGGACGCAAGUCUGAUGGAGCAACGCCGCGUGAGUGAAGAAGGUUUUCGGAUCGUAAAGCUCUGUUGUUGGUGAAGAAGGAUAGAGGUAGUAACUGGCCUUUAUUUGACGGUAAUCAACCAGAAAGUCACGGCUAACUACGUGCCAGCAGCCGCGGUAAUACGUAGGUGGCAAGCGUUGUCCGGAUUUAUUGGGCGUAAAGCGAGCGCAGGCGGAAGAAUAAGUCUGAUGUGAAAGCCCUCGGCUUAACCGAGGAACUGCAUCGGAAACUGUUUUUCUUGAGUGCAGAAGAGGAGAGUGGAACUCCAUGUGUAGCGGUGGAAUGCGUAGAUAUAUGGAAGAACACCAGUGGCGAAGGCGGCUCUCUGGUCUGCAACUGACGCUGAGGCUCGAAAGCAUGGGUAGCGAACAGGAUUAGAUACCCUGGUAGUCCAUGCCGUAAACGAUGAGUGCUAAGUGUUGGGAGGUUUCCGCCUCUCAGUGCUGCAGCUAACGCA